Molecule: ribosomal RNA, 498 nt
Filed under: uncultured bacterium
Lineage: Bacteria
Description: partial 16S ribosomal RNA
Rfam family: Bacterial small subunit ribosomal RNA
Source: RNAcentral
AUUGAACGCUGGCGGCAUGCUUUACGCAUGCAAGUCGAACGGCAGCGCGGGGCAACCUGGCGGCGAGUGGCGAACGGGUGGGUAAUAUAUCGGAACGUACCCAGAAGUGGGGGAUAACGUAGCGAAAGUUACGCUAAUACCGCAUACGAUCUACGGAUGAAAGUGGGGGACCUUCGGGCCUCAUGCUUUUGGAGCGGCCGAUAUCUGAUUAGCUAGUUGGUGAGGUAAAGGCUCACCAAGGCGACGAUCAGUAGCUGGUCUGAGAGGACGACCAGCCACACUGGGACUGAGACACGGCCCAGACUCCUACGGGAGGCAGCAGUGGGGAAUUUUGGACAAUGGGCGCAAGCCUGAUUCAGCAAUGCCGCGUGAGUGAAGAAGGCCUUCGGGUUGUAAAGCUCUUUUGUCAGGGAAGAAACGGCCGAGGAUAAUACCUUCGGCUAAUGACGGUACCUGAAGAAUAAGCACCGGCUAACUACGUGCCAGCCGCCGCAGUAA